UGUAUUCAUCAAAUGCAAAUGAUUCCCUAAGGUAGAAGAAAUUCUCUCUCCCCAUGCUUUCAACCUGCACCAGUUGAGCGAAUCUGAGGUUGUUCAAAACAAGAAUGACUUGAACUUCAUACAAAGCAUCACCCAACAUACGUAUAGCAAGAUACUCAAAAAACUUUUUGAUAAGACCUUUUUGUUCUUCCCAGUUCUCUACAUCGUUACCAAACUUAGGAAUCCAUACAGCACAUUU
Molecule: long non-coding RNA, 238 nt
Filed under: Helianthus annuus (common sunflower)
Lineage: Eukaryota; Viridiplantae; Streptophyta; Magnoliopsida; Asterales; Asteraceae
Description: sRNA HanXRQr2_Chr06g0238401
Source: RNAcentral